This 120-nucleotide ribosomal RNA is filed under the name Sorghum bicolor (sorghum). Its description in RNAcentral is "rRNA SSU_rRNA_eukarya". It matches the Rfam family "Bacterial small subunit ribosomal RNA", at positions 755 to 873 of the family's 1533-position model. Lineage: Eukaryota; Viridiplantae; Streptophyta; Magnoliopsida; Poales; Poaceae. The record is from RNAcentral.
GAAAACUAGGGGAGCAAAUGAGAUUAGAGACCUUAGUAGUCCUAGCCGUAAACGAUGGAUACUAGGUGUUGUGCAACUCGACCCAUGCAACGUUGUAACUAAUGCGUUAAGUAUCCUGCC